CCUACGGGCGGCAGCAGUGGGGAAUAUUGCACAAUGGGGGAAACCCUGAUGCAGCGACGCCGCGUGAGUGAAGAAGUAUCUCGGUAUGUAAAGCCCUAUUAGCCGGGAAGAAAAUGACGGUACCUGAUUCAGAAGCCCCGGCUAACUACGUGCCAGCAGCCGCGGUUAUACGUAGGGGGCAAGCGUUAUCCGGAUUUACUGGGUGUAAAGGGAGCGUAGACGGGAGCACAAGUCUGGAGGGAAAGGCCGGGGGCUAACCCCGGAACUGCUUUGGAAACUGUGCAGCUGGAGUGCGGGAGAGGUAAGUGGAAUGCCUAGUGUAGCGGUGAAAUGCGUAGAUAUUACGAGGAACGCCAGUGGCGAAGGCAGCAUACUGGAGUGUAACUGACGUUGAGGCUCGAAAGCGUGGGGAGCAAACAGGAUUAGAUACCCCAGUAGUC
This 440-nucleotide ribosomal RNA is filed under the name uncultured bacterium. Its description in RNAcentral is "partial 16S ribosomal RNA". It matches the Rfam family "Bacterial small subunit ribosomal RNA", at positions 338 to 795 of the family's 1533-position model. The record is from RNAcentral.